RNAcentral lists this ribosomal RNA (750 nucleotides) under Triticum aestivum (bread wheat). RNAcentral describes it as "partial small subunit ribosomal RNA". Lineage: Eukaryota; Viridiplantae; Streptophyta; Magnoliopsida; Poales; Poaceae. The record is from RNAcentral.
CAUUUGACUCGACGAGUGCGAAGGGUAAGGAAGCUAGCCGAGCCUAGGAGGAUUUGCUUAGGUAGCUGGAACGUAGGGUCUCUGACAGGGAAGCUUAGGGAGCUAGUUGAUGCAGCGGUGAGGAGGGGUGUUGAUAUCCUUUGCGUCCAAGAAACCAAAUGGAGAGGACAGAAAGCGAAGGAGGUGGAGGAUACCGGCUUCAAGCUGUGGUACACGGGGACGGCUGCAAACAGAAAUGGCGUAGGCAUCUUGAUCAACAAGAGCCUCAAGUAUGGAGUGGUAGACGUCAAGAGACGUGGGGACCGGAUUAUCCUGGUCAAGCUGGUAGUUGAGGACUUGGUUCUCAAUGUUAUCAGCGCGUAUGCCCUGCAAGUAGGCCACAAUGAGAACACCAAGAGGGAGUUCUGGGAAGGCUUGGAAGACAUGGUUAGGAGUGUACCGAUUGGUGAGAAGCUCUUCAUAGGAGGAGACCUCAAUGGCCACGUGGGUACAUCUAACACAGGUUUUGAAGGGGCACAUGGGGGCUUUGGCUAUGGCAUCAGGAAUCAAGAAGGAGAAGAUGUCUUAAGCUUUGCUCUAGCCUACAACAUGAUUGUAGCUAACACCCUCUUUAGAAAGAGAGAAUCACAUCUGGUGACUUUUAGUAGUGGCCAACACUCUAGCCAGAUUGAUUUCAUCCUCUCGAGAAGAGAAUAUAGGCGUGCGUGCCUAGACUGUAAGGUGAUACCCGGAGAGAGUGUUGUACCCUAG